RNAcentral lists this ribosomal RNA (253 nucleotides) under uncultured bacterium. RNAcentral describes it as "partial 16S ribosomal RNA". It matches the Rfam family "Bacterial small subunit ribosomal RNA", at positions 524 to 776 of the family's 1533-position model. The record is from RNAcentral.
UACAGAGGGUGCGAGCGUUAAUCGGAAUUACUGGGCGUAAAGCGCACGUAGGUGGCGACGUAAGUCGGGUGUGAAAGCCCCGGGCUCAACCUGGGAAUUGCAUUCGAGACUGCAUUGCUGGAGUACGGAAGAGGAAGGCGGAAUUCCCGGUGUAGCGGUGAAAUGCGUAGAUAUGUCAUAGAAUACCGAUUGCGAAGGCAGCUGACUAGACCUAUAUUGACGCUGAGGCACGAAAGCGUGGGGAGCGAACAGG